UUAUGGAGGGAUAAAUUUGUAACUUAUUUGUUGAAAUUACUCUCUCUCCUACCACCACACCCAUCAUUUACGGGAUUCCUAAUAUCAAGCAGUGAUUGUGAGAAUCAAUAUUCAUACUAAUAAUUAUUGCUAGUUUUGUGAUUUAGGUUACGCCAUCUCCCUGCAAAAGCACGCCGGCAGCCACUGCACCGCGCUGCGCCUUCUCCAACGCCGAGCAAAGAGACAGCAACGUCCUUGCUGCGUACUUCGUCGCGAGGCUAGACAGAACCGGCGGAGGAGCACCAUGGAUUUGGAGAGAGUUUGCACACCGAAGAGGAUGUUGAAGAAACUAGGAGCCUUCGCCAAGGAUCCUAUACCGGAGACUUGCAUUACAGUAUGCGAUGUUUUUUAGCUCGACGCUUGUGCUAGAAUUGUGUUAUGUUAAUAUGAAGUAUUGGAUUCGUAUAAUAUUUAUUUUUUAUUCAGAAAAUUUGUAUUUUUAUUCGACAUCUUAUAGUGACAUGUUCACUAUAAUGUACAUAGCUAUAUUGUAUUCAUUGUAUUAGUUAAUUUAUUCAGUUUCUUGUUUUACUUAUUCAAUUAAUAACACAGUGGUAUUUGAUGAA
Long non-coding RNA from Salvia miltiorrhiza (redroot sage), 605 nucleotides. RefSeq lists it as uncharacterized. The record is from RefSeq and is a predicted model, not a curated record. The transcript is spliced from 2 exons. NCBI's taxonomy places the organism in Eukaryota, Viridiplantae, Streptophyta, Magnoliopsida, Lamiales, Lamiaceae.